RNAcentral lists this ribosomal RNA (308 nucleotides) under uncultured eukaryote. RNAcentral's name for it is "SSU rRNA". It matches the Rfam family "Eukaryotic small subunit ribosomal RNA", at positions 111 to 414 of the family's 1831-position model. The record is from RNAcentral.
AAUAAUUUAUUUGAUGGUUCCUUACUACAUGGAUAACUGUAGUAAUUCUAGAGCUAAUACAUGCGUAAAGUCCCGACUCUCGCGGGGAGGGAUGUAUUUAUUAGAUAAAAAACCAAUGCGGGUUCUGCCCGGUUUUGUGGUGAAUCAUAGUAACUUUUCGAAUCGCAUGGCCUCACGCCGGCGAUAGUUCAUUCAAAUUUCUGCCCUAUCAGCUUUUGACGGUAGUGUAGUGGACUACCGUGGCGUUAACGGGUAACGGAGAAUUAGGGUUCGAUUCCGGAGAGGGAGCCUGAGAAACGGCUACCACA